UAGGAGCGCCGAGCUGGGUCUGAGGUCUCCGAAGCCGCUCUGUCCCCUGUAUCCGAGAGACAAAGAGAGCCAGGAGCCCCAGGGGUCUGUUGGGGACGGUCAGGACACCAGGGCCACUGCCCGGUGGCCACCCUGUGUCUGGGCUGGCCUAGGUAGGUGAUCCUCACUCCCAUCACAGGACACGAGGCCCCUCUCUCUGUCACCCACGUGUACCCACAGCAGCUCUGGCUGGUACCCACAGGGGUGGGGGAACCUGGGAGCGAACCCACUGGCGUCUGCCCCCAGCCCUGCGUGGCCCCCCAGGGUCUGGUCUGGACCCCUCCAGUUUAAGCUCUGGACCUUUCUGCCCUUUCCUCUGAGACCUUCCACCCCUCCCCCCCCAGCUAAGAGCUCAGCCCCAGGGGCAAGGGGCAACUUGGGAGAAUCACAUGAGUCAGGGGCGCCCCCUUGGGCCUCCUGCUGCUUUUGGCUGGUCCCCAAACUCACUUCUCAUCUGUCCCCCAGUCCGCCAUCCCUGCCCCUCACCCCUGCCCAGGCUCCUCCACUGCCCUUUCCCAGCUGCCCUCAGCCCCGCCUUCCCUCGCUGGUGCCCCUGCCAGCCCUUACCGCCCCUGGGGUCCCCCUGCCUCCUCUCCCUACUGCUUCCCAUCACCCAUCCUGGAGGCAGAGAUGUGGUCCUGGGUGAGCUUGGGGCCGGCACCCCCCGCUCCCCAGAAGCUCCUUGAAGGUCAGGGGUGUGUGUUCCUCCCAAGACGCUCUCCCAGCCGCCUGUGCCAGGCCAGCUGUUGCCUGAGGGACCUCCCGGGGCCACCCUGAUGCAGGGGUGCCCGGGCCCUCACCUGCACGUGCUUACGGGGGGCUGGUAGGGGAGCUGCAGGGUGGGGCCGGGCUGCCUAGCCCUGAACCCCUACGACAGCAGCCCCCUCCCCUCCCAUUUUACCGCUGAGAUACCUGCCUGCUGGGCAGCUUCCGGCCUCAGCUUCCAGAAGAGGCCCCGCCCCGCUCAGCCCCUCCUCUUCAUUCUGGGCCCGAUGGAGGCCCCGCCCAGGUCUCCUCUAACCUGACCUUCGGUCUGAGCAAGCUAAGACGGGGGAAACCAGUCUCGGGUCCCCGCCGGCGCCCACCUGCGGGCCUCAGGCCGGGUGCCCCCUUGCUUUCAGGGGAGGAGUCAGCAGGGCGUGAAGAGGAGGGAAGGCUGGCCUCCGACCUGGACUUUGAAGGACAGUAGGAUUUGCCAUGAGGGCAGAGGCCCACCUGCAAGUCUAAGGAGGGGCUUUGCCACGGGCAGUGGAGGCUGGGCGCCUGUACCAAGGCCGGUAGGCUUGGGCGCUGUGCAGCGGGUGGCCAGGAUGUGACAUCGGGGUAGUUUCAAGGUGUCAGCCAACAGCCUGGGAGAGAGGCAACGUGGCCGGAGCAGUGAGUUCGAGUGGCCCAGGCCUGGAUGGGACAAGGCCAGGGGAAAGCGGGCGGUCGAGGACAUGCUGGGUUUCCCAGCCCUGGCACAGUCACCCACAGACCAAACAGACCCGCCACGCCGGCUCAUCCGGAACGUGGCCUCGGGCCCUUGCAGAAACCCCACGUGGCGUGAGGCCUGCC
Molecule: long non-coding RNA, 1596 nt
Organism: Leopardus geoffroyi (Geoffroy's cat)
Lineage: Eukaryota; Metazoa; Chordata; Mammalia; Carnivora; Felidae
Exons: 4
Source: RefSeq, a predicted model, not a curated record